Molecule: ribosomal RNA, 398 nt
Filed under: uncultured bacterium
Lineage: Bacteria
Description: partial 16S ribosomal RNA
Rfam family: Bacterial small subunit ribosomal RNA
Source: RNAcentral
AUACGUAGGGGGCGAGCGUUGUCCGGAUUCAUUGGGCGUAAAGAGCUCGUAGGCGGCCUGAUAAGUCGGGUGUGAAAUCUCCAGGCUCAACCUGGAGAGGUCAUUCGAUACUGUCAUGGCUAGAGUCCGGUAGGGGACCACGGAAUUCCUGGUGUAGCGGUGAAAUGCGCAGAUAUCAGGAGGAACACCGGUGGCGAAGGCGGUGGUCUGGGCCGGCACUGACGCUGAGGAGCGAAAGCGUGGGUAGCAAACAGGAUUAGAUACCCCGGUAGUCCUGGCCCUAAACGAUGAAUGCUUGGUGUGGCGGGUAUCGAUCCCUGCCGUGCCGAAGCUAACGCAUUAAGCAUUCCGCCUGGGGAGUACGGUCGCAAGGCUGAAACUCAAAUGAAUUGACGGGG